This 72-nucleotide transfer RNA is filed under the name Chlamydiota bacterium. Its description in RNAcentral is "Chlamydiae bacterium tRNA-Pro". It matches the Rfam family "tRNA". From Rfam's summary of the family: Transfer RNA (tRNA) molecules are approximately 80 nucleotides in length. Their secondary structure includes four short double-helical elements and three loops (D, anti-codon, and T loops). The record is from RNAcentral. Lineage: Bacteria; Pseudomonadati; Chlamydiota.
CAGGGUGUGGUGUAAAGGCUGCAUCCCUCGCUUGGACCGAGGAAGACUGGGUUCGAUUCCUAGCACCCUGAC